GUCCACGCCCUAAACGAUGGGUACUAGACGUCGGGAAGCUUGUCUUCUUGGUGUCGCAGCUAACGCAAUAAGUACCCCGCCUGGGGAGUACGGUCGCAAGAUUAAAACUCAAAGGAAUUGACGGGGGCCCGCACAAGCGGUGGAGCAUGUGGUUCAAUUCGAUGCAACGCGAAAACCUUACCUGCCCUUGACAUCUAGAGAACCCUGCAGAGAUGCGGGGGUCCUUCGGGAGCUCUAAGACAGGUGCUGCAUGGCUGUCGU
This 261-nucleotide ribosomal RNA is filed under the name uncultured bacterium. RNAcentral's name for it is "partial 16S ribosomal RNA". It matches the Rfam family "Bacterial small subunit ribosomal RNA", at positions 793 to 1055 of the family's 1533-position model. The record is from RNAcentral.